This 280-nucleotide unclassified non-coding RNA is filed under the name uncultured fungus. RNAcentral describes it as "partial contains small subunit ribosomal RNA, internal transcribed spacer 1, and 5.8S ribosomal RNA". The stretch from base 1 to 73 matches the Rfam family "Eukaryotic small subunit ribosomal RNA", at positions 1759 to 1831 of the family's 1831-position model. The record is from RNAcentral. Lineage: Eukaryota; Fungi.
UCAAACUUGGUCAUUUAGAGGAAGUAAAAGUCGUAACAAGGUUUCCGUAGGUGAACCUGCGGAAGGAUCAUUACUGAAUUUAAGGAUUGGUGACAAUUCUUAACCUUCAAAACCUUUGCUUAAACAUUACCUUAUGUUGCUUCGGUACCCUGCGUACCGACAGCCUUUUUAAACAUUCUUAAUUAAACCUUGAUUCUGAAUCUUUAUAUUUUUUAAUUAAAAUUGAAUUAAAACUUUCAACAACGGAUCUCUUGGCUCUGGCAUCGAUGAAGAACGCAGC